UGCGGCCAUAACACGUUGAAACACUUGUUCCCUCGCGAUCGCCGAAGUUAAGCAACGUCGAGACUGGUCAGUAUUUAGAUGGGUGACCUCU
This is a non-coding RNA of Acanthosepion pharaonis, 91 nucleotides long. The record is from the annotation of a GenBank genome assembly. NCBI's taxonomy places the organism in Eukaryota, Metazoa, Mollusca, Cephalopoda, Sepiida, Sepiidae.